GAUGAGCUUGCCUUGGAUCUGAUUCUGGAAAAAACACACCGAGUCUUUCGUGUUAUCGAAAUAAAUCAAAGCCUGGAAGACUUUCCAAAGUUCUGGGACUGGCUCCACGAGGUGAAGAUGCCCGAGCAGAGCAGAGAAGCUUUGUGCCCUCCGGCUUGCCACGGCUCCGCUCCAGUGGUCAACUGCUCC
Molecule: long non-coding RNA, 189 nt
Organism: Gekko japonicus
Lineage: Eukaryota; Metazoa; Chordata; Lepidosauria; Squamata; Gekkonidae
Exons: 4
Source: RefSeq, a predicted model, not a curated record